Molecule: ribosomal RNA, 253 nt
Filed under: uncultured bacterium
Lineage: Bacteria
Description: partial 16S ribosomal RNA
Rfam family: Bacterial small subunit ribosomal RNA
Source: RNAcentral
UACGUAGGUGGCGAGCGUUAUCCGGAAUGAUUGGGCGUAAAGGGUGCGUAGGCGGCCUGCUAAGUCUGGAGUGAAAGGUACCGGCUCAACCGGUACAGGCUCUGGAAACUGGCGGGCUAGAGAGCAGGAGAGGGCGGUGGAACUCCAUGUGUAGCGGUAAAAUGCGUAGAUAUAUGGAAGAACACCAGUGGCGAAGGCGGCCGCCCGGCCUGUUGACUGACGCUGAGGCACGAAAGCGUGGGGAGCAAAUAGG